CUCAGUCUUCCCCAUGUAGGAAGGCAACUACCAGGCGCCAAUGCUUUAGACCUGAGGACAAUAAGGAGGAGUCGUUGGACGGACAGUCCCCAACUUCUUCCCAUUCAUCUUUCUCUGUGGCGUUGACUUUGCAUUGGUGUGCUCGAGAGGGCACUCCAAAGACCAGUCUUCCAUUCCAGAGCCAAGUCCUCCCCGCUUUGGAAGUCUCCCGGCUCUUGGUUUCCUGAUCACAAAUUUCAAUCUCCAGCUGCCCACUGCACCAUCAUCACCGCCCCUAUUCCAUCUGAAGCUCCUUGCCUGCCAAAUUUCGCAAGGCUUUGUCACCUCCUCGAAGUAGUCAAGCAUGAUGAAUGGGUACCGCAAGAUGAGGGUGAGCGAUCGCUUCAUAAGCAAGUCCAGUUCCAUAGACUUCUCAGACCUCACCUUCUAUCCUGAGCCAAAGGAAAGCCAUGAACACCCAUAUCCCACAUCUAUGGCUCAAGAGGGAGACACCGAUGUCGAGAUUCAUGAUCAGUCCUUUACAUGGGAAGAGGUGGAUGCGGCACGGCCGGGCUCUGGGUUAGCACUUAGCAGGAGCUGCUCCUCUGCCUCUCGAAGGUUCAGGGCUAGUGGCAAGACCAUCCUCGAGACCAUGGUGAGGAAGGCCUUCACAAUGAGGAGGUCCUCCUCUGUUGCUGGAGGGUACUGGAAGAUCCAUGACACCGAUGGUGGAGAUGGGGAAGGGGAGUUUGUAGAGGAGCAGCAGCUGAGAUCUCCCAUGAAGAAGAAGAAGAAGAAGAAGAAAGGGAAUAUUCUCAGGGCAUGUAAACAGAUCUUUGGAUUCUAGGCAAUGCCAUCUUUUGUAACGAGACCUAUCUUUCUUCGUUUGCUUCGAGAGGGAGAAAAAGAGAAUAAAAAGAAGAAAUUCUUGCUUGCUCCGAUGCUUGUGUUGGCGUUUGCGAUCGAAUAAUAAUAGUUUCCCGUCCCUCGGUUUUCUUC
This is a long non-coding RNA of Musa acuminata AAA Group (dessert banana), 978 nucleotides long. RefSeq lists it as uncharacterized. NCBI's taxonomy places the organism in Eukaryota, Viridiplantae, Streptophyta, Magnoliopsida, Zingiberales, Musaceae. The transcript is spliced from 2 exons. The record is from RefSeq and is a predicted model, not a curated record.